CAAUAGCGUAUAUUAAAGUUGUUGCAGUUAAAAAGCUCGUAGUUGGAUUUCUGGUCGGAAGCUCCUGUCCUCUGAUGAGCGUACAAGUGCGUCCUACCAUCCUUCUGUUAACCUUUAAGGCUUUCGCGGCUUUCUAGGGGCUCAGAUAUUUUACCUUGAGAAAAUUAGAGUGUUUCAGGCAGGCUAGCGCCGGAAUACAUUAGCAUGGAAUAAUGGAAUAGGACUUUUGCCUCUUCUGUUGGUCAUGAGGUUCGAGUAAUGAUUAAUAGGGAUAGUUGGGGGCAUUAGUACUUAACUGUCAGAGGUGAAAUUCUCGGAUUUGUUAAAGACUAACUUAUGCGAAAGCAUUUGCCAAGGAUGUUUUCAUUAA
This 370-nucleotide ribosomal RNA is filed under the name uncultured eukaryote. RNAcentral describes it as "partial 18S ribosomal RNA". It matches the Rfam family "Eukaryotic small subunit ribosomal RNA", at positions 592 to 976 of the family's 1831-position model. The record is from RNAcentral.